AGGAUGAACGCUGGCGGCGUGCCUAACACAUGCAAGUCGAACGUCCUGUCUCGCAAGAGGCAGGGAGUGGCGGACGGGUGAGUACCACGUGGGUCAUCUACCGUGAGGUGAGGAAUACCGGCGAGAAAUCGCCGACAAGACCGCAUAGGCUCGAUGCAAGUCGAGCAAAGCUCUUUCGAGAGAGGGAGCGCCACACGAGGAGCCUGCGCCCGAUUAGCUAGCUGGUGGAGUAACGGUUCACCAGGGCGACGAUCGGUAGCUGGUCUGAGAGGACGAUCAGCCACACUGGGAUUGAGAACGGCCCAGACUCCUACGGGGGGCAGCAGUGAGGAAUUUUCGUCAAUGGGGCAACCCUGAACGAGCAACGCCGCGUGCAGGAAGAAGGUUUCGGAUCGUAAACUGCUUUUCUCGGGAAGAGAAUGGACGGUACCGAGGAAUCAGCCCGGCUAACUACGUGCCAGCAGCCG
Molecule: ribosomal RNA, 467 nt
Filed under: uncultured bacterium
Lineage: Bacteria
Description: SSU rRNA
Rfam family: Bacterial small subunit ribosomal RNA
Source: RNAcentral